GGAGAUAUAGCUCUGUGGUUGAGCAUUUGUCUCACACACAUAGGGUCCUGGGUUCAAUUCUCACCAUUGCCA
This 72-nucleotide transfer RNA is filed under the name Neotoma lepida (desert woodrat). It matches the Rfam family "tRNA". From Rfam's summary of the family: Transfer RNA (tRNA) molecules are approximately 80 nucleotides in length. Their secondary structure includes four short double-helical elements and three loops (D, anti-codon, and T loops). Lineage: Eukaryota; Metazoa; Chordata; Mammalia; Rodentia; Cricetidae. The record is from Rfam by way of RNAcentral.